Molecule: long non-coding RNA, 606 nt
Filed under: Fukomys damarensis (Damara mole-rat)
Lineage: Eukaryota; Metazoa; Chordata; Mammalia; Rodentia; Bathyergidae
Description: lncRNA (ENSFDAG00000025977.1)
Source: RNAcentral
CCCAGGGAGGUGAGACCAAAGCUAGUUCUCUCUAUAGAUAAAGCUAGUUCUUGGCUGCUAGAGUUGCAGUCCAAAUAUUCUAUGAAAGUCCAUGUGUUGAAAGCUUGCUCUCCUGUUUAGUGCUAUUAGGAGGAGGUGGAACCUCUUAAAGGUGGAGUCUCAUGACAGGAAAUUAAGUCAUUGAGGGCAGCCCUUGGAGGGGAUUUUGGGAGCCCUGUCCCUCCUCUUCCUAUCUCUCUUGCUUCCUGGCAGCCAUAAAGAGAGUGGCUUUGCUCUUCCCACCAUGGAGGGCUGCCUGCCACAACAACAAAAAUCAAUGAGGCCAAGCAACUGUUGACUGAAACUCCAAAACUCUGAGCCACAACAAACCGUGUCUUAUGAUUCAAGUGUACCUGGUGUUUUGUCACAGUGACAGAAAGCUUACACAGUUACUCAUCAGCUGAGCCAGGGGUGGAUGGGAACGCCCUGUCCUCUGAUCAGGCUGAGGGGUUGGUUGACCAUUGAGCAGCUCAGGCUGAGUCAGAUUUCCCGAGUCUCUGCCACCGUAAAAAUCAGGCUCAGUGGUGCUAGCACAUGGAACAAGUCCCUGAAAGCCCACAAGAGAGG